AUGAUCCCAACUUCCAGAGCCCUCCUGGCCCUGUCUGUCAUCCCAGCUGAAAGAAACUCCAUUCAAGCUGUCCAACUUGGGCCAGCAUGAGCAGGCAGAGCUCACAGAUGGUUAAAUGCAUUUGACAUUUCACUGCAGGGCCUGCAGCAGAAAUCCUUGCCUGCUGUAUCUGGAGCCCUGGAUAGGAGCGAAUCAAGGCUCGUGGCUCCAGCACUGUGUGUGCACACUCUGCUGUGAGUUAAUAUUAUUGGCUCGCCCCUCAAUCAUGCCUUUUCCAGCUAGCUGCUCCUGUCAAAGCACAUCUCAUUAGGCCUGAAGGCUCAAUGAAAUGGAAAUUCAUGUUUAAAUUUAAAAACAACAUAUUGACCCUGGGAGCCAGUGAUGUCUACAUUUUUAAUAACUUACUGAGAAUAAAAGGAGUGUAUGUGUAGGAGGGAGGGGGAGGGCUGGGUGGCAGGAGGAAGAGGGAAUGUAGAAGUGGAGGUAGGACAAACGGAUGGGGUGAAUAGCCAUCCAAGGUCUCUGGUCCUCUCCACUUCCCUCCAGCCCCAUUCUCACUUUUUUUGUCCCUCUUGCUGCAUGGAGAAGAGCUCAGGCUUCACUUAAAGGGACCUCAAAGCCUCAAGGGGAGAUCAUGUCCCUAAUCUGGUACAAAAACAGUGAGGGAGGAGGAGGAGAGCCCUGUCUCUGCACACACAGAGGCAUGCUCACUCCUGCGCAGACACGUGAACACACAUGUGUGAACCCUGGUCCCCGAGCCCCAAGCAUCCCAGUGAGCUGCAUUUCCCUUGUACAGAGGAGUAGUGUGCUGCAGAGCGCAAGUGAACACGGAGCCUUUUGGAGGAGGAGGAGGACAUGAACACAGCUACACUGCAUAUGAUUUGCCAUGUGGCACAACCCCAGCCCCCCUGUGCCUUGCUCUGACAUCAUUCCCAGGGAGGCAUGUACAGCUCCUGCCACCACAAUGGGUUAGGUAAUCUAGGGGGAGGCAGAGACAGCAUGUCUUAUCCUGUGUGAUUACAGGAGAAGCAAUGCUCCUUUCUGAUGGGCUUUAUUGUUCCCUGGUAGCACCCAGGGAGCUGAAGAUGGUGAGGCAGAGUUCAGAUGCCCUCUUGUUAUGUGAUCACUGUACCCUCCAUGGCAGUAGGUAUUUUUAGCAGGGGGGUUUUGGGUGGGUUUUUUUGGGGGGUUCUUUUUCUUUUUUUUUGAAAACAAGAGAUCUGACAAUGUCAUCUUGGCUGGCAUCCACCUCGGGGAAUCACAGGCUGUAUGGAUAAACCUGCUCUGGCUGCUGCAUCUCCAGACAGAAAUGGGUUGCUGUGUUAAUGCACUAUAGCAAGAGUCUCCUGGUGGAAGCUACAUCUUAACAGGAGGUUGAAGUCAAAAUCUGAGGAGAGCACAAAAGGUGAAUUCACAAAAAAGUGAAUUUACAACAAGUUUUAGAAGGUUGUAUGUAAUUCCUAUAGAUGAGCAAAGUAUGCAUAAUAAACACGUGAGAGCUGAGAUCACUCUCCAAAGAGCUCACUGAUUUCUCCUGUGCUCCCCUCCCUUUUUCAGCUCAGUAUUCCAAAGGUACUCUAGUGUUGUCUCUGGUCUCUGACUCAGCCCUAGUCUUCUGUCUGGCUCAGGGGGAUGUGCUUCUCUGUGUACCAGGAAUAUGAGCAAAACAGGACUGAAGACUUCCUGACCUACAUUCCUGCAAAGCUGUCCACUGCAAUUCAGACUAGCCCUAAAUAUUGUAGGCAUGUGAAUUCCCCAUGUUUUCCUCACUUUUAAAAUGAGAUCUCCUAUGUUCUACCACUUAUCCCUCUGUUGUACUGAAAAUUACCUUGUCCUUACUUCUAUACUGCUUGCCAUUAGCCCUCAGUUCUGAACUGUUUCAUAUCUUUAUUUGCCCUGUUUGAACACACUGAUAAUUUCUCCAGCAUUCUUCAUUUUUACAGUGAUGGUUUUUGUUUCAUAUUGUUGCCAUUUUCUAGAUGUAUUUAAAGAUUGUGUUCAAAGAGUUUAAGGCCAGAUUUCUCUAAUCUCAUGUCGUUAACAUGAUGCACCACAAUUUCCACUCACUGACUGAACACCUUGCCCUUGGCUAAAGCAUCUUCUCUAGGAAGGAAUCCAAAUGUUGAUUUGAAAACUUCAAGCAAUUAAAAAUUCACCCAUUUGAAGUUAUGACAAAGUUCAAUUACACUCAUUGAUUACAAAAAAAAACCCGAAAGCAUACUUAUUUAUCAUUUUUGUCUGGCUUGCUUUCAUGAGUAUUCAUCCUUGGUGUCAUUUUCCCUGAUAAACUAGAGAUAUUUUGUUGCUCACAUCAUCUAAGCUACGACAUUCUUAAGUACUUCUCAUCUUUUGCAAACUUGCUCCAUCUGCCUCACUUUCUCUUUAAUUACUGGCUGAGUGAUUCUCCAUCCCUUACACCUUUUUUUUCUCAUGUUCCAAAUACCACUACGAGCCUCACUCAUUUCCUGUCACCCAGGACACCCUGCUGAAUUUGUGAAUAGUGGUUCACAUACGUAAGCACAUGUAGCGGCAUUUCAGACUGGUGUGUAGGGGCUGUGAAUCCUUUCUGCAUAUAAAAUACCAUGUACCCUAGAGCCUCUUCAGUCAGGACACUGUACAUCUCACCAAAGUGCUACAGAAGUCCUUGGAGGUCCUUCCACAAGCAGAGAAAGAAGGAGGGGGCAGAAAAUCUAAAGGGGUCACAUGAAAAAGCUAUUAAAUAACCUUUGGGCUUCUAUUUUAUUUAUUUAUUAAGCUAGACAAGGAGCAUGAAAAGGUAUGGAGGCACUUGGUUUCUUAAUUUGUGUCUAUUAUCUAUUGAAAUUUGACAUAAUGUCUCCACAGUUCUCCUUAAUAUCCCACAGUAUAUAGAAUGUGACUAGCUCCACCAUCUAAUGUGACAGUUUAGGAAGAUUAAAAAGAAAAGCUAAACUAGCAGUAGUUGGAGAUGAGAAAAAGUAGCACAUUUAUGAAUAAUUUCAGCUGAAUUCUAACAACAUUGCAUUCCCUGGACAGGAUACAUUUAUUAUCUUAUUCACCAUGACUACUGCAACAUUAGUGAUUUGUUACUGAAUCAAUUAUUAAUUCAUAUGAGUGAAUAAGGCUCUGUCACUUAACUCUUCAGCUGACCGUGCCCACUACACACUGAUUGCAAUUUUUAACAGUUUUCUCUCCUCUUAUCUUUACCCUUCCUGAGCAUCUGUAUUCACAGAGAUUGAUGCUUUCAAUUUCACAAAUAUGUUUGACAAAAGACACUUGUUUUCCUCGUACAUGUGAGACUCUCUUCAGGAAAGCUCCCCUUUUGAUAAUCAGCUUGGUACCCCAGUUGCCAAGAAGGCAACUGGUUUGGUAACAAUUUGAUUUGUGAAAGAGACUGGCUAAAAAGACAGACAAAUAAAGACACCUUCCCUCAAAAGCUUCUUGGGUUCCUACCACUCAGGAGCAAGAUUUUUAAUGGGUUGACAUAUUUGGUCACCAGGACAUAAAAGCUUUCUAGAAAAAAAACAUACAGAUAGCAGACUUUAUCUUCCAGUGGUGAGAUACAUGAACAGACAACAUCAUGGACUCAAUCCGAGCAGACGCAAAGAUAAAAUACCUGCACCAUGUGAUCUCACACUUUCAGCUAAUACCACUCUGUCUGUCAGCUAAUGAGAGAACCAGGCAACAAAUUUGAAGAGAUGGACUGUAUUCAAGGCUCUGUCAUGGAUUUACUGCCAUGGGCAGUGACAGUCACAUCUGAAUUUUGUUACCCUCCUGCCUUUGAGAAAAGACAUUAGGAAGAAAAGAGAACAUGCUAAAAUAUUCCCAGCAUCUCUUACAAGCAGUUGAAAUGACUGUCAUUAACUUACUCCUUGUCAUGUGUAGAGCACAGCUUACCAUUUGAACAGUACUGCCAAUGAAAUAUAUUGUGAUUAAACACAAAGCUGUGCUUAAACCCCAUGUGCAGAGUCACAGAAGAAGGCAAGCUCCAGUCCAGGAGUACUUUUAUUUUCAAAUUCUUCUACAGUCCUAUAGUUCAGUGGCUCAUCUCUGCCUGACACUGGCAAGAUGCACCCUUAGCUGCAUUCCUGGUCCUUCCAAGCAUACUGUGUCACCUCAGGGUGACCAUCAAUCUGUCCUUUGUGUUGACCAAAACAGUCACUGUUGUAUGAGUGAAGGAUGAAUAUGUAGCCACCUGUCCACUCCAACAAGCAGCAAUGUCUUAACAUAAGGAAAGGAAGAAUUUGCAGCAUCCCAUGGGUGUUCUUGGACCUCUCAGAAAGCUUGAACAUAUUCACAUCCAUCAUUCAACAGCACUGCCUUCAGAGAAUGCUAUAAAAUGAUGUGAGUAGGUACCAAGCACCAAUGUGCCUGCUGAAACUUGAUGGCUUUCUUAGAUACGAGAGUGUCUCUCAAAUCCCAACCCUUUGGAAAGGUUGAAGGCUUUUCCUUUCCUCCUUCACUCUGCCCUUCUCUGUCCCUCAGCAAAAAAGUUCCAGCAGAAGUGAUUAAGUUUCAAGACAACAAAAAAUGAUCUGAUGUUAAACCUAAAGACCUCUCAAAGGGACUUGUGUAUGUUUACUGAGAAAUUGUUUUGCAGAACGUAGAAAAAUGUUAGUUUCUCUAUCAUACCAUUGAAGCACAUUGACAUAAGGCCCUCCUUCAGCAGUGAUGGCUGGAAAUGAAGGACCUUCCAAUAUCUAUUAUAGAUGGACUGAAUCUCUAACAAUGACACCCUGGCAUCCCUUGGAUUAUUAAAAUUACCUGGGUAGCAUAGGUCAGUACAUACAAAAUCAGGAAGAUAAUGCUGAAAUCAACAGAGAUCUUCCAUUUUACUUUAACACUCCCUCAAAUGAAGCUUUCAGGGCAUAGGAUUCACACCCUUACUUACCAAACUGCAUUUCUGUUACUACAGUGUACAUUGAGGGUCAAUACAAAACCUUAAUAGCCAGGUUUUCCAGGAUAGCACUUACAUGAAAAAUUUCCACAAACUGUUCUUUGUAGUUCUUUAAUGAGAGACCAGAGAAGCAAAAAAACAUUUUUAGGGAGUUGAUUGUACGUCAUGCUUACUCACAGCUAAUGUCAGGCUGUUCCUCUCAGUGUUAUCACCUGAUGUAAAGGUUUCUACUGCCAUAAAAAGAUUAAAGACAUCCAAUUUACACAUAAAAUCUCUCUUCCCCAUGCUCCCUUGAACCCACUGUCCAAGCUCUGAGCACCACAAGAACUAGAGUAAAUAGCCUAAAUGAUGACAGGUCAAUUAGAGGAUUGAAAUCAUGUUCUAUUUCAUAAUCUGAGGUGUUAUAAGUAACACAGAAAGGGUUUGUCUACACCCACAGGAGUAAAUAUUUGAUUUUUAUCUUGACAUUGUCCUUUCAAGGAAAGUCAGAGAGGGGAACAGAGAGAGAUUAUAAAGAGGAUACUAAUGCAUUGUAAAGCCAAUGCUUUAUGGAUUACAGGGAGAUAGCAGAGGGAGGAUGACACCAAGUCCUUCUAAUUGUUAGAGAAUGGGACCAGUCUUUACAAAAUGACCCAUUCUGUCUACAAAGAGAGAUGUAAAAGACCUUGACUAAUUACUCUAUGUGGCAGUCACAACCAGUAUUUUUGCCCCACACAUGGUGAAAUCACAAGGUAGGACAUGGACUGACGUCCAAAUACAAACACAAACGCACAUUGCAUUGCUUGAUUUGGUCAGAGAAGGGAUGUUUUUGAGAUAGUCACAUGAAGAGGCCAGUAGUAAAAGAAAUAAUACUCAACCCUCUACAGUUCUAUUAGAGAAAACAGAGACUGAGAUCUGAUUGCUUUUUUUGUCAGUUUUUUGUUUUGUUUUGUUUUGUUUUAUUUUGUUUUGUUGUAAUUUUGCCCCCACACUGGUCUCAAUAUUCUUCCAUAUUCCAAUUCUCUCUUGUUUUCAUAUAGAAAAGGAUAUUUAAGUCUUAAAAGUUAUUUGCGUGAAUUUUACUCCAUGCCCCAGAAAGUGAAAUUCAUCUCUCAUUUUGCCACAAUACACAAUUGAAAUUAAGGUGGCUGUGAAAGAUGGGCAAGGUCUUAGCAUGAGCUAAGCUGGGUUGACAUGGAACUCAGGAAAACAAAGUUACUCAUGGAAAACAUUUGUUUAUAAAAGCCUAAAAGCACAAAAACAAACAAAGAAAAAAAUCCUCUAUCAUUUAAGCCUGUCCAUAAAUCCCAGUAAGACUGCAAAGUUGCAGCUUGCUUGGUAUGUUUUAUGGACAGAGAUCUUGCUGACUUGGCUGACACUAGCUAGGAGGCGGGGAAGGCAGGAAAGUUGAGAUUUGGGGUGGGUAAACAUUCCCAUCCAUCAAGUGAUUGGAUUUGCAACUAAAGCUGUGAAAGCCACAUCAGAUUAAUGUUGUCAGGGCAGGAAUGAUGUGAGAAUCUUCAGUCCUUAAUUCAAGUGACAGUAUCAGGGAACACACACUUGAGGCCAGGGCAGUUCUGGACUCAGUAAAUUCAGGCCAAGGUGAAGGGGGAAAAACUUCCACCUGAUUCACACCAUGUACAACAUGAGUAUCUUCUCAGCCUUUUGCACUUGGUGCAGAGAACAGCAGGGAGGGUGGAAGACAGGGUCCAACAACCAGCCCUGCAAUUUCCGUUCAGCUCCACAUCUCUUUUGUUCAGAGCAAGAUGCCCCAAUUGUGCUGAACCAUGUGAAAAAAUCAGCCUACAGAGACUUUUGUUCUUUGAAAUCUCUUAUUGAAGGAAGGAGCUGAGGCUGAGCAAUUUAAUUCACUUAGGACUUUUGUGUCUUAAUCCAUGGAGCAAGGUUUUCAAUCAGCUCUGGGGUGACGGGGGAAGGCGGCUCUGUGUGGGCUCCCCAGGGUGCAGGUGGGUGGGUGCAGGGUAGAGAGGGAGGCAAGGAGCUGAGUCCUGAUCCAUCACAGAGCCCCACCCAGCCUGACAGGAGCUGGCCGGGCAUUACUCCACACCAGCUUUCGGGAAUGCAAAGCAGCUUAUGCGGGUGGGUCAUUUCAGGACACUAAUAGUAAUGAAAACAAACCCUAAAACACACUCACACACCAAAUGACAGUGGGAAGUAGAGUCUGUGGGUGAAAAGAGAAGAGGUCCAACUCAUCCCUAAGGGGGCAGAUUGAAGAUGCACAGGAAUAAAUUAGCUUUAAGAAAACAGUAUAUACCAGGAGAAUCUAUCAGAAGGAGGAGACUAGGGGAAAAAAAAAAAAAAGUAAACAAUCAAAGAAGAAAACCCCAACAACCAAACAAAAGAGGGGUAUCAUUCGGACUGUAAGAGCAAGGAGACAAAGAAAAUUGGCUAACAGCCCUGGUUGCAGGACUUGGGCACUACCUUCAGCAUACGUGGGAGUCCACUGCUUUCCAUACUCAGUCCCUUCACACUUAUGUAGCCCUGCCAGGACAGGGACCACGUAACACCCUGACACUGAGACAGGGGGAGGCUUAACAGGGUGUGGGAAUGACCUCCAUUCUCAUGCAGAAUGGGAUGUGCUUUGCUCGCUCCUCACCUACACCCCAACCCAGUGUUUCCAGCUACCAAGGCAUCACUGCUUGCCCUCAUAGCUUACAGACUAUGAGUGCAGAAAAACUGCCAGAGACCAAGAUUUCUACAGUAUUUGGAAAUCAGAAGUCAUCCGAGGAAACAGAGCAAAAUUUUCUUCAUAUGGGUCCCUAUAUAUACACAUAAACCCAUCCACACACAUACAAACCUGUUUCCCUACAUCCCUGGCUUUAUGAAAGAUUUGCUUCUACUUUAAGGACACAGUUCAGGAAGGGCAGCUGUUGAAUCACAUUUCUCCAUAGAGCAUACAGCUCUGAAGCUAAAUGUUAUCAUGAAAGUCCCUAUGGGCUGAAGCUGGGAAGGAAAAACAGACUCCUGACCUGCAGUUGUUAAAAAUGGCUUUUUGCAGGAGAAUGGUAAUGUGAGGCUCUAUCUUACAGCAGGCUAAAAAAAUAGCACCGUGAAUUCAAAUUAUGCAUGCUUUUGGUGCCUUGAAAAUCAAAACAAAAAAGACCAGCCCUGCAUUUAAUCACUAUUAGAAAUAGUAUUGGGACAGGUCUGUGGUGUGCUGAAGAGUCUAAGACAGUCACGGCUGUUUAGUGCAGAGAACAGAAGGUUUUAAGGUGACUUUAUUGUGGCUUUUCAGAACCUAAAGGGGAUUUACAAGAAAGCUAGAGAGGGACUUUUUGCAAGGACAUUUAAUGGCAGAAUGAGGGAGAAUGGUUUUAAUGUGAAAGAUAACAAAAAUAUUUUUUCUUGUGGGUGUGGUGAGGCACUAGCACAGAUUGCCCAGAGAAUAGAUGCCCCAUCCCUGAAAAUAUUCAAGGCCAGGCUGGAAGGUCUCUGAGCACCUCAUCUAGGAACCUUAGGAAGGUGUCCCUGCCCCUGACAGGGGGUUUUAGUGAGAGGAUCUUUAAGGUCCCUUCAAACCAAAACACUUCUGUGUCCCUGUGGUUCUAGACCUGGUUCCUCCCAAGAUCUGACUGCUGUAGAGACACAGAAUUAACAAGGCUGGAGAUAUACAGGUAGGCUGCUGUGAUGGUUUUGAAGCAGCUGAGCCCAUGACAUCAAGAUCUGGUGGCAGCUG
RNAcentral lists this long non-coding RNA (8552 nucleotides) under Taeniopygia guttata (zebra finch). Its description in RNAcentral is "lncRNA (ENSTGUG00000019706.1)". Lineage: Eukaryota; Metazoa; Chordata; Aves; Passeriformes; Estrildidae. The record is from RNAcentral.